UGAUCGAGUGGCGAACGGGUGAGUAACGCGUGAGGAACCUGCCUCAAAGAGGGGGACAACAGUUGGAAACGACUGCUAAUACCGCAUAAGCCCACGGCUCGGCAUCGAGCAGAGGGAAAAGGAGCAAUCCGCUUUGAGAUGGCCUCGCGUCCGAUUAGCUAGUUGGUGAGGUAAUGGCCCACCAAGGCGACGAUCGGUAGCCGGACUGAGAGGUUGAACGGCCACAUUGGGACUGAGACACGGCCCAGACUCCUACGGGAGGCAGCAGUGGGGAAUAUUGCACAAUGGGGGAAACCCUGAUGCAGCGACGCCGCGUGGAGGAAGAAGGUCUUCGGAUUGUAAACUCCUGUUGUUGAGGAAGAUAAUGACGGUACUCAACAAGGAAGUGACGGCUAACUACGUGCCAGCAGCCGCGGUAAAACGUAGGUCACAAGCGUUGUCCGGAAUUACUGGGUGUAAAGGGAGCGCAGGCGGGCGAUCAAGUUGGAAGUGAAAUCCAUGGGCUCAACCCAUGAACUGCUUUCAAAACUGAUUGUCUUGAGUAGUGCAGAGGUAGGCGGAAUUCCCGGUGUAGCGGUGGAAUGCGUAGAUAUCGGGAGGAACACCAGUGGCGAAGGCGGCCUACUGGGCACCAACUGACGCUGAGGCUCGAAAGUGUGGGUAGCAAACAGGAUUAGAUACCCUGGUAGUCCACACCGUAAACGAUGAUUACUAGGUGUUGGAGGAUUGACCCCUUCAGUGCCGCAGUUAACACAAUAAGUAAUCCACCUGGGGAGUACGACCGCAAGGUUGAAACUCAAAGGAAUUGACGGGGGCCCGCACAAGCAGUGGAGUAUGUGGUUUAAUUCGACGCAACGCGAAGAACCUUACCAAGUCUUGACAUCCUGCGACGAUGCUAGAAAUAGUAUUUUCCUUCGGGACGCAGAGACAGGUGGUGCAUGGUUGUCGUCAGCUCGUGUCGUGAGAUGUUGGGUUAAGUCCCGCAACGAGCGCAACCCUUAUGGUCAGUUACUACGCAAGAGGACUCUGGCCAGACUGCCGUUGACAAAACGGAGGAAGGUGGGGAUGACGUCAAAUCAUCAUGCCCUUUAUGACUUGGGCUACACACGUACUACAAUGGCGUUAAACAAAGAGAAGCAAGACCGCGAGGUGGAGCAAAACUCAGAAACAACGUCCCAGUUCGGACUGCAGGCUGCAACUCGCCUGCACGAAGUCGGAAUUGCUAGUAAUCG
Molecule: ribosomal RNA, 1232 nt
Filed under: Faecalibacterium prausnitzii
Lineage: Bacteria; Bacillati; Bacillota; Clostridia; Eubacteriales; Oscillospiraceae
Description: bacterial SSU rRNA
Rfam family: Bacterial small subunit ribosomal RNA
Source: RNAcentral